RNAcentral lists this ribosomal RNA (253 nucleotides) under uncultured bacterium. RNAcentral's name for it is "partial 16S ribosomal RNA". It matches the Rfam family "Bacterial small subunit ribosomal RNA", at positions 524 to 776 of the family's 1533-position model. The record is from RNAcentral.
UACGAAGGGGGCUAGCGUUGUUCGGAAUCACUGGGCGUAAAGCGUAUGCAGGCGGAUCGUUAAGUCGGGGGUGAAAUCCCGAGGCUCAACCUCGGAACUGCCUUCGAUACUGACGAUCUCGAGUCCGGGAGAGGUGAGUGGAACUGCGAGUGUAGAGGUGAAAUUCGUAGAUAUUCGCAAGAACACCAGUGGCGAAGGCGGCUCACUGGCCCGGUACUGACGCUGAGAUACGAAAGCGUGGGGAGCAAACAGG